Molecule: ribosomal RNA, 1469 nt
Filed under: metagenome
Description: bacterial LSU rRNA
Rfam family: Bacterial large subunit ribosomal RNA
Source: RNAcentral
UGCUGAUAAGCCCGGCCGGAGAACGGUAGUUCCGGUCGAAGUGCUGUACCCUAUGAAGGCUCCAGGGAAAUCCGGGGCCCGAGGCGAGGCAUGAUAGCGAGCUGACCUACGGGAAGGCGAAGCGGGCGUAGCUAUAGUGCCAAGAAAGAGUCCCUAAGGUGUGUCCAUGAUUGACCGUACCGCAAACCGACACAGGUAGGCGAGAUGAGAAAUCUAAGGCGCUCGAGAUAACUAGCGUUAAGGAACUCGGCAAAAUGCACACGUAACUUCGGGAGAAGUGUGGCCUUCUUUGGUUUAGCAAUAGGUUAGAGAAGGUUGCAGAGAGCAGGCCCAAGCGACUGUUUACCAAAAACACAGGUCUGUGCGAACGCGCAAGCGGACGUAUACGGACUGACGCCUGCCCGGUGCUGGAAGGUUAAGAGGAGGAGUCAGCAGCAAUGCGAAGCCCUGAAUCGAAGCCCCAGUAAACGGCGGCCGUAACUAUAACGGUCCUAAGGUAGCGAAAUUCCUUGUCGGGUAAGUUCCGACCCGCACGAAUGGUGGAACGAUUUGGGCACUGUCUCAACGCUAGACUCGGUGAAAUUUAUAUACCGGUAAAGAAGCCGGUUUCCUGUGGUUAGACGGUAAGACCCCGUGAACCUUUACUGCAACUUAUCAUUGGGACUUGACUUGACAUGUGUAGAAUAGGUGGGAGGCUUUGAAGCAUGGCCGCUAGGUUGUGUGGAGCCUUCAGUGAAAUACCACUCUUGUUAAGUUAGGUUUCUAACCCGUUCUGUCAAUCCAGGAUGGGGACAGUGUUAGGCGGGCGGUUUGACUGGGGCGGUCGCCUCCUAAACGGUAACGGAGGUGCGCGAAGGUCGCCUUACGCUGGUUGGAAAUCAGCGCACAAGUGUAAAGGCACAAGGCGGCUUGACUGCGAGUCCGACAGGACGAGCAGGUACGAAAGUAGGUCUUAGUGAUCUGGCGGUAGCGAGUGGAAGCGCCGUCACUUAACGGAUAAAAGGUACUCUGGGGAUAACAGGCUGAUCUUGCCCAAGAGUUCACAUCGACGGCAAGGUUUGGCACCUCGAUGUCGGCUCAUCGCAUCCUGGGGCUGGAGCAGGUCCCAAGGGUCUGGCUGUUCGCCAAUUAAAGCGGUACGUGAGCUGGGUUCGAACGUCGUGAGACAGUUCGGUCCCUAUCUGCCACGGGCGUUGGAUGGUUGAGAGGAGCUGCCUUUAGUACGAGAGGACCGAGGUGGACGUACCUCUGGUGUACCGGUUAUCGUGCCAACGGUAAGUGCCGGGUAGCCAAGUACGGAAGGGAUAACCGCUGAAAGCAUCUAAGUGGGAAGCCCACCUCAAGAUAAACCAUCCCUGAGGGUUCGACCCUCCUGAAGGCACCAGGGAGAAUACCUGGUUGAUAGGCUGCAGGUGUACGUACGGUAACGUACUCAGCCGAGCAGUACUAAUCUGCCGUGAGGCUUGACU